RNAcentral lists this ribosomal RNA (497 nucleotides) under uncultured bacterium. Its description in RNAcentral is "partial 16S ribosomal RNA". It matches the Rfam family "Bacterial small subunit ribosomal RNA", at positions 28 to 507 of the family's 1533-position model. The record is from RNAcentral.
GAUGAACGCUGGCGGCGUGCCUAAUACAUGCAAGUCGAGCGAACGGACGAGAAGCUUGCUUCUCUGAUGUUAGCGGCGGACGGGUGAGUAACACGUGGAUAACCUACCUAUAAGACUGGGAUAACUUCGGGAAACCGGAGCUAAUACCGGAUAAUAUUUUGAACCGCAUGGUUCAAAAGUGAAAGACGGUCUUGCUUUCACUUAUAGAUGGAUCCGCGCUGCAUUAGCUAGUUGGUAAGGUAACGGCUUACCAAGGCAACGAUGCAUAGCCGACCUGAGAGGGUGAUCGGCAACACUGGAACUGAGACACGGACCAGACUCCUACGGGAGGCAGCAGUAGGGAAUCUUCCGCAAUGGGCGAAAGCCUGACGGAGCAAAGCCGCGUGAGUGAUGAAGGUCUUCGGAUCGGAAAACUCUGUUAUUAGGGAAGAAAAUAUGUGUAAGUAACUGUGCACAUCUUGACGGUACCUAAUCAGAAAGCAACGGCUAACUACGUG